RNAcentral lists this ribosomal RNA (252 nucleotides) under uncultured bacterium. RNAcentral's name for it is "partial 16S ribosomal RNA". It matches the Rfam family "Bacterial small subunit ribosomal RNA", at positions 524 to 775 of the family's 1533-position model. The record is from RNAcentral.
UACGAAGGGUGCAAGCGUUAAUCGGAAUUACUGGGCGUAAAGCGUGCGUAGGCGGUGAUUUAAGUCUGCUGUGAAAUCCCCGGGCUCAACCUGGGAAUGGCAGUGGAUACUGGCAGGCUAGAGUGCGGUAGAGGAUGGCGGAAUUCCCGGUGUAGCAGUGAAAUGCGUAGAGAUCGGGAGGAACAUCUGUGGCGAAGGCGGCCAUCUGGACCAGCACUGACACUGAGGCACGAAAGCGUGGGGAGCAACAGG